Molecule: ribosomal RNA, 417 nt
Filed under: uncultured eukaryote
Lineage: Eukaryota
Description: SSU rRNA
Rfam family: Eukaryotic small subunit ribosomal RNA
Source: RNAcentral
CCAGCAGCCGCGGUAAUUCCAGCUCCAAUAGCGUAUAUUAAAGUUGUUGCGGUUAAAAAGCUCGUAGUUGGAUUUCUGCUGAGAACGACCGGUCCGCCCUCUGGGUGUGUAUCUGGCUCUUCCUUGGCAUCUUCUUGGUGAACGUUGCUGCACUUGACUGUGUGGAGCGCUACCCAGGACUUUUACUUUGAGGAAAUUAGAGUGUUUCAAGCAGGCAUUUGCCCUGUAUACAUUAGCAUGGAAUAAUAAUAUAGGACUUCGGUUCUAUUUUAUUGGUUCUGGACCGAAGUAAUGAUUAAUAGGGACAGUCGGGGGCAUUCGUACUCAACAGUCAGAGGUGAAAUUCUUGGAUUUGUUGGAGACGAACUACUGCGAAAGCAUUUGCCAAGGAUGUUUUCAUUGAUCAAGAACGAAAGU